RNAcentral lists this ribosomal RNA (818 nucleotides) under Rhopographus filicinus. RNAcentral's name for it is "partial large subunit ribosomal RNA". It matches the Rfam family "Eukaryotic large subunit ribosomal RNA", at positions 76 to 912 of the family's 3401-position model. The record is from RNAcentral. Lineage: Eukaryota; Fungi; Ascomycota; Dothideomycetes; Pleosporales.
UGCCCUAGUAACGGCGAGUGAAGCGGCAACAGCUCAAAUUUGAAAUCUGGCGUCUUUGGCGUCCGAGUUGUAAUUUGCAGAGGGCGCUUUGGCAUCGGCAGCGGUCCAAGUUCCUUGGAACAGGACGUCACAGAGGGUGAGAAUCCCGUACGUGGUCGCUAGCCUUUACCGUGUAAAGCCCCUUCGACGAGUCGAGUUGUUUGGGAAUGCAGCUCUAAAUGGGAGGUAAAUUUCUUCUAAAGCUAAAUACUGGCCAGAGACCGAUAGCGCACAAGUAGAGUGAUCGAAAGAUGAAAAGCACUUUGGAAAGAGAGUUAAAAAGCACGUGAAAUUGUUGAAAGGGAAGCGCUUGCAGCCAGACUUGCCUGUAGUUGCUCAUCUAGGUUUUUAUCUAGUGCACUCUUCUAUAGGCAGGCCAGCAUCAGUUUAGGCGGUUGGAUAAAGGUCUCUAUCAAGUACCUCUCUUCGGGGAGGCCUUAUAGGGGAGACGUAAUGCAUCCAGCCUAGACUGAGGUCCGCGCAUCUGCUAGGAUGCUGGCGUAAUGGCUGUAAGCGGCCCGUCUUGAAACACGGACCAAGGAGUCUAACAUCUAUGCGAGUGUUUGGGUGUCAAGCCCGAGCGCGUAAUGAAAGUGAACGGAGGUGGGAACCUUUCGGGGUGCACCAUCGACCGAUCCUGAUGUCUUCGGAUGGAUUUGAGUAAGAGCAUAGCUGUUGGGACCCGAAAGAUGGUGAACUAUGCUUGAAUAGGGUGAAGCCAGAGGAAACUCUGGUGGAGGCUCGCAGCGGUUCUGACGUGCAAAUCGAUCGUCAAAUUU